GCGGGGCUGCGAGGUGCGACAGAGACACAUUCCCCGGGGCCUUACGAUCCUAACGGGAGCUGUCCCUGGCCGGGCUCGUGGGCUCGGUCAUAUGGCGCCCACCUACUUAUGUAGGUUCCCGGGAUCACGCUCUGACGGCCAUCGCGGCUCCGCA
RNAcentral lists this non-coding RNA (154 nucleotides) under Hyphomicrobiales bacterium. RNAcentral's name for it is "6S RNA". It matches the Rfam family "6S / SsrS RNA". From Rfam's summary of the family: E. coli 6S RNA was the first non coding RNA to be sequenced, but its function was unknown until recently. It consists of 184 nucleotides that fold into an extended hairpin structure with a large single-stranded internal bulge. The record is from RNAcentral. Lineage: Bacteria; Pseudomonadati; Pseudomonadota; Alphaproteobacteria; Hyphomicrobiales.